GGACGAACGCUGGCGGCGUGCCUAACACAUGCAAGUCGAGCGAGGAGAGUUCCUCGGGAUGAUCCUAGCGGCGGACGGGUGAGUAACACGUGGGCAACCUGCCUCAUAGAGAGGAAUAGCCUUCCGAAAGGGAGAUUAAUACCUCAUAACAUUGCAGUUUCGCAUGGAACAGCAAUUAAAGGAGCAAUCCGCUAUGAGAUGGGCCCGCGGCGCAUUAGCUAGUUGGUGAGGUAACGGCUCACCAAGGCGACGAUGCGUAGCCGACCUGAGAGGGUGAUCGGCCACAUUGGGACUGAGACACGGCCCAGACUCCUACGGGAGGCAGCAGUGGGGAAUAUUGCACAAUGGGGGAAACCCUGAUGCAGCAACGCCGCGUGAGUGAUGACGGCCUUCGGGUUGUAAAGCUCUGUCUUCAGGGACGAUAAUGACGGUACCUGAGGAGGAAGCCACGGCUAACUACGUGCCAGCCGCCGC
Molecule: ribosomal RNA, 474 nt
Filed under: uncultured bacterium
Lineage: Bacteria
Description: bacterial SSU rRNA
Rfam family: Bacterial small subunit ribosomal RNA
Source: RNAcentral